AUUUUUUUCAUUCUUUCUUUCUUUCUUUUCUUCCCUCUUUUCUUCUCACACCGAGUUGGACAUGUCACUUAUAUGUUGGAAGAGGCGAGGUGGGGGGCUAGAAUACUGUAUGA
RNAcentral lists this non-coding RNA (113 nucleotides) under Fragilariopsis kerguelensis. Lineage: Eukaryota; Bacillariophyta; Bacillariophyceae; Bacillariales; Bacillariaceae. The record is from RNAcentral.